Molecule: ribosomal RNA, 443 nt
Filed under: uncultured bacterium
Lineage: Bacteria
Description: partial 16S ribosomal RNA
Rfam family: Bacterial small subunit ribosomal RNA
Source: RNAcentral
CCUACGGGAGGCAGCAGUGGGGAAUAUUGGGCAAUGGGCGCAAGCCUGACCCAGCAACGCCGCGUGAAGGAAGAAGGCUUUCGGAUUGUAAACCUCUUUUGUCAGGGACGAAGCAAGUGACGGUACCUGACGAAUAAGCCACGGCUAACUACGUGCCAGCCGCCGCGGUAAUACGUAGGUGGCAAGCGUUAUCCGGAUUUACUGGGUGUAAUGGGCGGGUAGGCGGGACUGCAAGUCAGGUGUGAAAACCACGGGCUCAACCUGUGGCCUGCAUUUGAAACGGUAGUUCUUGAGUACUGGAGAGGCAGAUGGAAGUCCUGGUGUAGCGGUGAAAUGCGUAGAUAUUAGGAGGAACACCAGUGGCGAAGGCGGUCAGCUGGAAAGCAACUGACGCUGAGGCGCGAAAGCGUGGGGAGCAAACAGGAUUAGAUACCCUUGUAGUC